Molecule: non-coding RNA, 237 nt
Organism: Pelobates cultripes (western spadefoot toad)
Lineage: Eukaryota; Metazoa; Chordata; Amphibia; Anura; Pelobatidae
Source: the annotation of a GenBank genome assembly
AUAAAAUCAGGAGGUGUACAGAUAAAAAUUAUAAAAACAAAUAUGAAAGAAUCGCAGGUCCUACGCGUUUCGUCCUUAUACACAAGGACUUCCUCAGGGACCUCUUUCAAUUAAAUAAAAUAACAAUCCAAAGUACAAAACCAAAAGGCAUCCUAAAAACGCUACCAAACAAACAAUCUUAUAUAGGGCUAAUCCCUUCAAGUCAUUGGUGGAAUAGUGGGUGUCUUCUUUCUUCUA